This 482-nucleotide ribosomal RNA is filed under the name Spilophora lacrimata. Its description in RNAcentral is "eukaryotic LSU rRNA". Lineage: Eukaryota; Metazoa; Arthropoda; Insecta; Coleoptera; Chrysomelidae. The record is from RNAcentral.
UCAAGAGUANGUGAAACCGUUCAGGGGUAAACCUGAGAAACCCGAAAGGUCGAAUGGGGAAAUUCAUUCGCGUUUCGAACGUCGGCGUUGAGCGGUUGCGUGACGGACGGAGUCCGCUUCGUCCGCUCCUUCCGUUUUUCGAACCGACUUCGAACGCGUGCACUUUUCCCCUAGUAGGACGUUGCGAUCCGUUGGGUGUCGAUUUAAGGUCCGCGAAGGAGCUCGCGUAGACGUUUCGGCGUUCUAUACGAACUCGCGGUGUCCCGAUCGACUGCUCGACGGUAUAUAGAUGGCGCGGGGCCGCUACUUUCAGUUAGCGUUCGACCUACGGCAAGCACGUACGGAGUCGACGGCGAUCAGACCUGGUCGGAUCCCGUCCCCGGACGACUGUUGGCUCACGUAGUGUUCUCGAACAGACCUCGUCGAAACGCCGAUCUGCGACGCUAUAGCUUUGGGUACUUUCAGGACCCGUCUUGAAACAC